Molecule: ribosomal RNA, 406 nt
Filed under: uncultured bacterium
Lineage: Bacteria
Description: partial 16S ribosomal RNA
Rfam family: Bacterial small subunit ribosomal RNA
Source: RNAcentral
AUUGAACGCUGGCGGUAUGCUUAACACAUGCAAGUCGAACGAGUGGCGGACGGGUGAGUAAUGCAUAGGAAUCUACCUUUGAGUCUAGGAUAACUACCCGAAAGGGUGGCUAAUACUGGAUGCUAAGAGAUGAGCCUAUGUGGGAUUAGAGAGUUGGUGGGGUAAUGGCCUACCAAGGCGACGAUCUCUAGCUGGUUUGAGAGGAUGCGCAACCACACUGGUACUGAGGCACGGCCCAGACUCCUUCGGGAGGCAGCAGUGGGGAAUAGUGGACAAUGGGCGAAAGCCUGAUCCAGCAAUACCGCGUGUGUGAAGAAGCCCCUAGGGUUGUAAAGCACUUUUGUUAGGGAGAUGUUACCUAAAGAAUAAGCACCGGCUAACUCCGUGCCAGCCGCCGCGGUAAUUC